This 1654-nucleotide long non-coding RNA is filed under the name Nicotiana benthamiana. RNAcentral describes it as "long non-coding RNA (NBEN_LNC018766)". Lineage: Eukaryota; Viridiplantae; Streptophyta; Magnoliopsida; Solanales; Solanaceae. The record is from RNAcentral.
AAACAGCUAAAUUUGGAGCCUAAUUUCGCUCCAGAAUCCCAGUACAUACGACGCAGGAGAACAGAAGCUAAACCAAUUCCAAUUAACAUCAUUUUCACCUUUUAAUUCCACAAGCUUUCACGUCAUUUUCAUAACUGACCAUGCCUCUAAUGCAUAAACUAACAAUUGAUUACCUAGUUUAACCAUUUGUAACCUUCAUGUUUACUAAGAUGUUCAAUUAGUAUUCCCGCACAAUUCCACUAUAGAUCGAACAUAGAACUAACUGAACUCUUUACACAAAACAGGUGAAAUCAAUUGGCCUGCACAUUGAUUUUCAGCUAAUGGAGAAAUUUAGCUUCACUACACUAGGACUACCAAUUUAAAAGGAAUAUCACCAUUAUAGUCUCAGAUGAAUCAAACAGUCCAAAAGAUCUAUGAAAUUCUAAUUAAUACAAUUCAAAAAUUCGUUUAAAAAUAGUUUAAUUACACAUGAAAUGCCAAACUGGGCCACAACACCAUUUCUUCAUUAGCCGACCUCAAGUGAUUUCAUACACGUCAAUUCAGUUCCAAAACCUCGAGUCUGAGAACAUACCUGGAAUUGAAAUUAAAUAGAAAGAGGGAGAGUUUAGCAACAGCAGCAGACAACUGCAAUUUGGAGGUUCAAACAGCAGUACACACAGCCAAGCAAUUUGAAUUUUUACUAUGUUUUGUUUUUUUGGAUUUUUGAGUAGGAUCUAAAAUCUAAAGAGAAUGUAUGCUUAAGUCCUAUUUUGGCAUGUCCUAAAAGGUUCUAUCAUGUUCUUAUUCCCUUUAAAUCCCUAAACUACCCUUGCCUAAUUUCUAAAAUUGCCAAUUCUAGUAAACCUACCCUUUUCCAUCUCCAAAGUGCCCUUGACGAGCCCCUGGAAUUACUAAUAAACCAAUCAGCUAUAUCCCAUCAACUAAAGUUAAUUACCCUGAUAAUAAACCAUGAAAUGAAGAACCUACAACUGAACCCAAUUGAACAACCAAACAGAAAUGCCAUAAAACAAACAUUGAAUUGAAGUCGAACUUAAACGAAAAUACAACUUAACUAAUCAGUUUGACUAAUUAAACUAACACCUAACAAUUAGCGAACCAGACGACAUAUCAGAAUUAAUCUAAACCAAACCAAUUAAAAGAACACACAGAAUUAAUCAAAAAAUUAAACGACCUAAGUCUAAAAUUUAAACUAAACUGGAAGCAAAAUUAAACAAUUGCACAGAUACUCAUACCAUGAUUGAAACAGAAAGAAAGAAGGAAAUAAGGAACUCACUGAAUCCAGACUUCUUGCGGCCAAUCGUCGAAUUUGAUUUUCGAUUAAUAUUAUCCGUCUAUUUCAUUAGAAAUAAACAGAUAACAUCAAUUAAAAAUCAAUCGACAUGAAAACAGACUCCCAAAAUGAAUUUGGACUUCAAGAACCCUAGGUGUGAAAUUUGACGGCCUUUGGUUGAAUUAGGGAGUAAUAGUUUAUGUUUCUGGGUAGAGGAGAAUGGGGGGCAGUAUGGGGUUUGAGUUGGAGAAGCAUUGGGGUGUGAUUUUGGGGCUCAUCGCAGCAACGCCGUCAUCGCCGCCGGCGGGUUUCGACAGAGAGAACAAGUGCGGCUGUGGGUUAUUAGGGUUUGGUGAGAGAGUGAUUGGGAGAGACGGAAUUGGG